GCAUCCGCCGGCCCGCAGUACCUUGUACUUAUCAAAGCCAGCCAGCUGCUCCGGGCUCACGUAUUCGUAGCCAGCCAUGACGACCCGAAAACUGAGCGCCCACUCGGCAGCGACUCCCGGCUACAAGGCUGUGACACACAAGCACCACACCGGCUGGGCAAGGAUGGCAAAGACUGGGCUGCCCGAGAAGGGACAGAGUCAGGCUGGAGGGGAAUCUGGAUCUGGGCAGCUCCUGGACAAAGAGAAUGGAGCAGGGGAAUCAGCGCGGGUCUCCGUCUAUGUACAUCUGGACUUUCCAGAUAAGACCUGGCCCCCUGAACUCUCCAGGACACUGACUCUCCCUGCUGCCUCAGCUUCCUCUUCCCCAAGGCCUCUUCUCACUGGCCUCAGACUCACAACAGAGUGUAAUGUCAACCACGAGGGGAAUUUCUAUUGUGCUUGCCUCUCUGGCUACCAGUGGAACACCAGCAUCUGCCUCCAUUACCCUCCUUGUCAAAGCCUCCACAACCACCAGCCUUGUGGCUGCCUUGUCUUCAGCCAUCCCGAACCCGGGUACUGCCAGUUGCUGCCACCUGGUGAGGAAGGUUGGGAACUUGGAAACCAAUG
Molecule: small RNA, 606 nt
Filed under: Pan troglodytes (chimpanzee)
Lineage: Eukaryota; Metazoa; Chordata; Mammalia; Primates; Hominidae
Description: processed transcript
Source: RNAcentral